AAGCUCGUAGUUGAAUUUCGGGCCCGUCCUGCCGGUCCGCCUCACCGCGAGUACUGGUCCGGAUGGGUCUUUCUUUCUGGGGAAUCCCAUGGCCUUCACUGGCUGUGGCGGGGAACCAGGACUUUUACUGUGAAAAAAUUAGAGUGUUCAAAGCAGGCCUUUGCUCGGAUACAUUAGCAUGGAAUAAUAAAAUAGGACGUGUGGUUCUAUUUUGUUGGUUUCUAGGACCGCCGUAAUGAUUAAUAGGGAUAGUUGGG
Molecule: ribosomal RNA, 257 nt
Filed under: uncultured Basidiomycota
Lineage: Eukaryota; Fungi; Basidiomycota
Description: partial 18S ribosomal RNA
Rfam family: Eukaryotic small subunit ribosomal RNA
Source: RNAcentral